Molecule: ribosomal RNA, 489 nt
Filed under: uncultured bacterium
Lineage: Bacteria
Description: partial 16S ribosomal RNA
Rfam family: Bacterial small subunit ribosomal RNA
Source: RNAcentral
UUGCACGCUGGCGGCAGGCCUAACACAUGCAGGUCGCACGGUAACAGGAAGAAGCUUGCUUCUUUGCUGACGAGUGGCGGACGGGUGAGUAAUGUCUGGGAAACUGCCUGAUGGAGGGGGAUAACUACUGGAAACGGUAGCUAAUACCGCAUAACGUCGCAAGACCAAAAAGGGGGACCUUCGGGCCUCUUGCCAUCGGAUGUGCCCAGAUGGGAUUAGCUAGUAGGUGGGGUAACGGCUCACCUAGGCGACGAUCCCUAGCUGGUCUGAGAGGAUGACCAGCCACACUGGAACUGAGACACGGUCCAGACUCCUACGGGAGGCAGCAGUGGGGAAUAUUGCACAAUGGGCGCAAGCCUGAUGCAGCCAUGCCGCGUGUAUGAAGAAGGCCUUCGGGUUGUAAAGUACUUUCAGCGGGGAGGAAGGGAGUAAAGUUAAUACCUUUGCUCAUUGACGUUACCCGCAGAAGAAGCACCGGCUAACUCCGUG